Molecule: unclassified non-coding RNA, 4363 nt
Filed under: Hevea brasiliensis (rubber tree)
Lineage: Eukaryota; Viridiplantae; Streptophyta; Magnoliopsida; Malpighiales; Euphorbiaceae
Source: RNAcentral
AAAAAAAAAAAAAAAAUUACUUGAAAAGAGAAAACAUGAGGUAACUGCAGCAAGAAGUUGAUUUUCGCUAUCUAGAAAAUAUAGGUCAAGAAAAUAUACAUGCUAUUUCGUUCCACUUUCAUGUAAUGAAAACAAGCUUCUGAAUUUUAAUGGUAUUGAUAUAAUGGUAUCUCUCAACAAAAAGGAAACCAUAGAACAAAAACUGUGGAACAGUUUUAUAUACCACUGCUAUAAAUGUGUGAUCAACAGUCUCACUUCAUGCGUCUCCAGCGUGUUAGAUAAAUCCUAGCCCAUCUUCAUUUAAGUCAUCGCUUCCCAUCAUUGGGCAAUCAUUUGCAUCAUGUCCAAACUGCCCACAGCAAGGCAGAGAGCAUCGCCUGCGCUUCCUGUAGAUAUUUAUCCCAUCUCUUAUCCUCUCUUUCAUCUUUUCCAAGGUCAUUGGAUCAUGAGUAUUCCCAGCAGCAAAACUUUGGACAAAUCCAACAGAAUCUUCAACCUCUGGAAGAAUCAAUGAGUCAGAUGGGCUAGUAUAAGCAACAUCAUUAUCAUCAUGUGCUGGCCCAGGAAAUUCCUUGAUACGAGACAACACCCGAGCAACUUGAUUACAAGCAACAUUGAGACGCUCUUCUGUAUCUAUUGAUUCUGUAAUUAGUGUUGACACCAUGGAUUGUAAUAACUGAACUUUUCCUGCACGUUCAUCUGAAGAAAAAGCCUGGAAGGGCUUUGUCAAUGAUGUAUUGACCUCACGCCAACGAACAGGCAGAUAUCGAUCUGGAAUGUGAAAGCAAUUGUUUGUUGAUAAAACACGGAGAACAUGUCUGCAAAGAAUUCCUGAAAACUCAAACAAAUGGCAGCUACAACUAAUGAAUUCAUCAUGAGGAAUCCACAGAACUUUGCACCCUAUAUCCAUAUCUAUAUGGUGUCUCACAAUGAAAUAAGUCUCAUCUACCAAUAGUGAUGCAUAUUGUGGAGCCAAAACAAGCUCUUCUUGUAGUUUGCUAAAGGCAUAUGGUGUAAGAACAGUAGCAGCAUGAGACUCAAUUGGAGAUCCCAUUUUGAGGGAGACUUUAUGGGCCUUUCGUUGCACCUUUUGCUUUGGUCCUGCAUCUACUUUAUAUCCAACAGCUACAGCAACCUGCUAAGGGGAAGUUGAAUAAUGCAACCUAACAAAACAAAUAAAUAGUACAAGAGAAAGGGGCUAGCCUCCAACCUUCUCUACAAAGUUAUCAAGAGAGUGAGCACUCAAAAUCCGUUGGAUAAAAGCAUUUAUCAAGUCUGACUGGAAGGCACUGGUCAUUCCAGCAAAAAAGUGACAUCUCAAAAAUGGUAGAGCCCAAAAGGCGCGCAAUGCAUAUAAACUGGCAAUGUGUUUAUUUCCAUGUAGGCCAUAUGUAUCGACCAUCUUCAUCCAUCCUACUUCAAAAUCCUCUACAGAGUGCAAAUUAUAGAGCCGAUGGAAUUCAGCCUUCCAUUUAUCAUAUUGUGACCCAAGCAGAACAGAAAACCAAUCAGAGAACUUUGCAAUUAUAUGCCAUAUGCAGAACGCAUGCUUGGUUCUUGGCAUUUCAACAGCAACUGCUUCUUUAAGCCAAAUGUUUUGAUCAGUUAAAAUAGUUUCUGGAGCCUUUCCAUCCAUGGACUCCAAGAAUGUCUGCCAAAUACAUUUAAGGGAGUAAAGCUAAUAAAUUUAAGACAUAAAACACUUCCAGGGAAAGUGUAUGAUCCAAAUUUAAAUAAUUGGAAUUUAAGGCUUUGUAUAGUCAAGAAAUUAUUAUCUUCACAUGAAACUUGAAUUCAAGAGGCAAUGGAGUAGUUAGUCCAUUGCAUUAAAUAUGCGGUCUUACGAAAAUAAGUGCAAACAGAAACACUCUUUGAACUCUUUUCUGACCAAAGACUGAAAUUAUUUUCUAUAAGCAUCAAUGUUGCAUUAUAGGAUAAGAUCAAAAUUUAUGAAAAAAAUAAAAACAAGUUAUUCGGUGUUUUUUACCACAGCCAAUAGAAAAUGAGUGAACGUCUGUAUAUAUAGGUCUAAAUUGUUUGGCAAGACAUAGGACUAAAGCCAUGUGUCUGUAGCUUUAACUUCAAAGCCUCAAAUUACUUGACUUAGCUGUGCCCCAAGCUGAAUGUUUGGAAUUUCACUCAAGUGGAAAGGGUGAGGUCUUUUAAUUGGUUUAAAAUGUCAAUAGGUUAUACGGAUGAUACGAAAUUUUAAAACACAGCUGUUAUGGAUCCUCAUUACUAUACCAAAUUACCUCCUUACCUUCAAUGCCCAGGAAAAGGACUCUGUAUUUUCAUCUCGCAGAAGCACACAUCCAAAGAAACAAUUACUGCCAUGAUUGUCCACCCCAACCCAAAUCCCCAUAAUCAUGUCAUAAGGAUCCAAACGAUGGGUGGUGUCAAAUAUUACCGCAUCUCCAAAAGCCUCAUAUGAUUCAAUAGAUGAAGCAUAAGACCAAGCAAUGCGCUCCAACUGGUUGUUUGGAUCAAUUUGGAAGUUGUACUUAAAGUUGGGAUCUUUGUCUUUCCUGUAUUUGCACAUCUCAAGAAGGUUGAUAGCAUCACUGUCACGAUUCACAUUCCUAAAUGACUGCAGCAAGUUUCUGACAUCCAUUUCUGUGAAUGGUAAACAACCUAGCUUAACACCCUUCUCCAGCUCCAUCAUCCUUAACAUUUGUCGCACUGACAUCCCAACUUUUGCAUACAUGCAAAUUCGACUCUUGUCAUCUGCAGACAUAGUGCAACAAGCAGGAAGCAGCUGCACCUCAUUUGAUUUCAGAAGUUCAUGGUUGUGGAUGUUACUAAAACCAGUAAUUCGCCAUUCAGGAACAUCAAAAUCUGCCUUUUUAACUAUUCGCAUAUAUGCUUGACAACCACAUCGAGAUGAUUUUCGAUUUCUUUGCAUCUUUCCCUCAUCAGAAGCCUUUAUCUGAGGAUAGCCACCACGGUGGCAAGUGAAAUCCCUUCUUGUAAUUCCCCUACCUACACCAUCUUUCCCUCGAGUACGAUGACGUCUGAUUGAAAAGCCACAUUGCUUUGCAAAGCUGCAAUAAAAUUCAUAGGCAGCAUCUUGGGAAACAAACCUCUGUCCAAUAAAUGGGACAAGGUUAACAGAAGUUUGCCGGGACAAAAUUGUAACCUCUGCCAUUUCCUCUACAGUGCCAAUAUCGUCAGCACAUGAAUCCAUACCACUUUCAGAUGUUUCUUUCACUAAAUCUGUUAAUUUGGACAUUAUUUCCAAUUUGGAUAAAUGACACUGCAUAUACAGUCCUGCACAGAAUUUUUGAAAAUUUCAAGAUAAAAAUACUUGCAUGGCAAAUGAACACAAAUGAAAGACCAUUAGGGUGUUUUAUGCAUUUCUUUUUCUCCUCGUAUUUCUUCAACUUUGAAGGAUGCCAGUUUUAUUUUGAUUCAUGUUUGAACCCAGGAUGUUUUCUUGCCUAACAGAAAGAAAGGGUAUGUUUCUUUCUUAGUCGUUGUUUAGGGCUGAAUCACAAUAAUCGCAUCCUAAUUUUCAUGAUCAUGCAUAGCAAAUGCCCAUAUUUGGUACACCAAACUGAAAAUCCUUGGCUAGUACUUUAAACCCAAGAUAGGCAUAUGGAUAAGAACUAACUUCAUUAACAGCUACUCAAAUAAAUGAACUUACUUGUGACUGACUAGUGAGCUAACUUCUUGCACAAAGUACCACCCUCCACCUCGUUUUAAACCCUAGAUUUUCCCAAUUCCUUGUACUCAACUUUCCACAACAAAGCUCCAUUUUUAAACACAGCGAUCCGAAAUGAAAUCCAAUUGCGAUUCAAUAUCUAUCUAACUCAAUCCAAUCCAAAUGUAAACAAAAUGCAAAAUGUCAAACUACAACCCUAUAAAAGAAAAUGCCAACGUGAAAUCACGGUAAUCAUAUCAUCAAGCAGAAAUGUGCGUCAAAAUUUUACUUUCGCGUGAGAUUGAAAGAAUCGAUUUGUCGAGAAAAUCAAAGAAAAACAACAAAGUGGGCCAAAAAGAACACAUACCGAUAAUCAAAAUAUUUGAAUUUUGGAGAAAAUGUACACAUUUUAAACAGGCGGUAGGUUGAAGCUCGGAGAGCAACGCGCUCCCAUGGACGACGAUAGCUUAGGUGCCGAGGAUAAGCCAGAGUGCGCGCUAUGGAGACACGAGGGUAUCAAGCGCUACAUACUCUAUUUUCGGCCGUUGGAUUGAUUAAAAUGGUCCUAGAAGCAUUAGGAGAAUGAUUGGUUUGUGACCAUCAGAUUGAGGUAAUUUGGAUCGGCGGCUCACACGAGAACAGUUGGCGUAAACGUACCGGAGUAUUUUAGACGACCUAAGUCCUCCCUGACUUUCACGGAAGCGGCUAAGUUGCCCCAUAAUG